RNAcentral lists this ribosomal RNA (482 nucleotides) under uncultured bacterium. RNAcentral describes it as "partial 16S ribosomal RNA". It matches the Rfam family "Bacterial small subunit ribosomal RNA", at positions 30 to 507 of the family's 1533-position model. The record is from RNAcentral.
AUUGAACGCUGGCGGCAUGAUUUACACAUGCGAGUCGAACGGUAACAGGCCGCAAGGUGCUGACGAGUGGCGAACGGGUGAGUAAUGCAUCGGAACGUGCCCAGUCGUGGGGGAUAACUACUCGAAAGAGUAGCUAAUACCGCAUACGAUCUAUGGAUGAAAGCGGGGGACCGUAAGGCCUCGCGCGAUUGGAGCGGCCGAUGUCAGAUUAGGUAGUUGGUGGGGUAAAGGCUCACCAAGCCAACGAUCUGUAGCUGGUCUGAGAGGACGGCCAGCCACACUGGGACUGAGACACGGCCCAGACUCCUACGGGAGGCAGCAGUGGGGAAUUUUGGACAAUGGGCGCAAGCCUGAUCCAGCAAUGCCGCGUGCAGGAAGAAGGCCUUCGGGUUGUAAACUGCUUUUGUACGGAACGAAACGGCUCUGGUUAAUACCCGGGGCUAAUGACGGUACCGUAAGAAUAAGCACCGGCUAACUACGUG